RNAcentral lists this ribosomal RNA (484 nucleotides) under uncultured bacterium. Its description in RNAcentral is "partial 16S ribosomal RNA". It matches the Rfam family "Bacterial small subunit ribosomal RNA", at positions 30 to 507 of the family's 1533-position model. The record is from RNAcentral.
AUUGAACGCUGGCGGCAGGCCUAACACAUGCAAGUCGAGCGGAUGAAGGGAGCUUGCUCCUGGAUUCAGCGGCGGACGGGCGAGUAAUGCCUAGGAAUCUGCCUGGUAGUGGGGGAUAACGUCAGGAAACGGGCGCUAAUACCGCAUACGUCCUGAGGGAGAAAGUGGGGGAUCUUCGGACAUCACGCUAUCAGAUGAGCCUAGGUCGGAUUAGCUAGUUGGUGGGGUAAAGGCCUACCAAGGCGACGAUCCGUAACUGGUCUGAGAGGAUGAUCAGUCACACUGGAACUGAGACACGGUCCAGACUCCUACGGGAGGCAGCAGUGGGGAAUAUUGGACAAUGGGCGAAAGCCUGAUCCAGCCAUGCCGCGUGUGUGAAGAAGGUCUUCGGAUUGUAAAGCACUUUAAGUUGGGAGGAAGGACAGUAAGUGAAUACCUUGCUGUUUUGACGUUACCAACAGAGUAAGCACCGGCUAACUUCGUG